UAAACGCUGGCGGCGCACAUAAGACAUGCAAGUCGAACGAACUUAAUCCUUAGUUUACUAUAGGAAGCGGUUAGUGGCGGACUGGUGAGUAACGCGUAAGCAAUCUGCCUAUCAGAGGGGGAACAACAGUGAGAAAUCACUGCUAAUACCGCAUAUGCUGUGAGUACGGCAUCGUACAAACAGGAAAGGAGCAAUCCGCUGAUAGAUGAGCUUGCGUCUGAUUAACCUGUUGGUGAGGUAACGGCCCACCAAGGUGAUGAUCAGUAGCCGGACUGAGAGGUUAAACGGCCACAUUGGGACUGAGAUACGGCCCAGACUCCUACGGGAGGCAGCAGUCGGGAAUAUUGCGCAAUGGAGGAAACUCUGACGCAAGUGACGCCGCGUGCAGGAUGAAGGUUUUCGGAUUGUAAACUGCUUUAGAUAGGGAAGAAACAAAUGACGGUACCUAUAGAAUAAGCUCCGGCUAACUACGUGCCAGCCGCAGC
RNAcentral lists this ribosomal RNA (485 nucleotides) under uncultured bacterium. RNAcentral's name for it is "bacterial SSU rRNA". It matches the Rfam family "Bacterial small subunit ribosomal RNA", at positions 30 to 518 of the family's 1533-position model. The record is from RNAcentral.